Molecule: long non-coding RNA, 219 nt
Filed under: Nicotiana benthamiana
Lineage: Eukaryota; Viridiplantae; Streptophyta; Magnoliopsida; Solanales; Solanaceae
Description: long non-coding RNA (NBEN_LNC002910)
Source: RNAcentral
GACAGAGCCGUACAGGUAGGACCGCCAGAUGGUAGUUAACCUUUGGCUGUCUCCUUUGACAAGGUAAAUGUGGAUACUAAUCUGGUGCUGCUCCUUCCCUCAAUUGAAAGUAAAAUGGCGAGCUUCUCUGCUCCAAAGACAUAUGACGAGUAAAGGAGUAUCAGGUCUUAUUGGGAUGUUUUUUCAAGCAGCACAUAAUUUCAGCUGGGAGAUGGACGG